RNAcentral lists this ribosomal RNA (866 nucleotides) under uncultured archaeon. Its description in RNAcentral is "bacterial SSU rRNA". It matches the Rfam family "Archaeal small subunit ribosomal RNA", at positions 1 to 868 of the family's 1478-position model. The record is from RNAcentral.
UUCCGGUUGAUCCUGCCGGAGGUCACUGCUAUCAGUGUUCGACUAAGCCAUGCAAGUCAAAUGUUCUUCGUGAACAUGGCGGACUGCUCAGUAACACGUGGAUAACCUGCCCUUAGGAUUGGCAUAACACCGGGAAACUGGUGAUAAUACCGAAUAGACCAUUUAUGCUGGAAUGCUUUUUGGUUCAAAGGCUUCGGCUGCCUAAGGAUGGAUCUGCGGCCUAUCAGGUAGUAGUGGGUGUAAUGUACCUACUAGCCUACGACGGGUACGGGUUGUGAGAGCAAGAGCCCGGAGAUGGAUUCUGAGACAUGAAUCCAGGCCCUACGGGGCGCAGCAGGCGCGAAAACUUUACAAUGCGGGAAACCGCGAUAAGGGGACACUGAGUGCCAGCAUAUUAUGUUGGCUGUCCACAUGUAUAAAGACCAUGUGUUAGCAAGGGCCGGGCAAGACCGGUGCCAGCCGCCGCGGUAACACCGGCGGCCCGAGUGGUGAUCACUUUUAUUGGGUCUAAAGGGUCCGUAGCCGGUUUGAUCAGUCUUCUGGGAAAUCUGACAGCUCAACUGUUAGGCUUUCAGGGGAUACUGUUAGACUUGGGACUGGGAGAGGUAAGAGGUACUACAGGGGUAGGAGUGAAAUCUUGUAAUCCCUGUGGGACCACCAGUGGCGAAGGCGUCUCACCAGAACGGGUCCGACGGUGAGGGACGAAAGCUGGGGGCACGAACCGGAUUAGAUACCCGGGUAGUCCCAGCCGUAAACGAUGUUCGCUAGGUGUCAGGGACGGUGCGACCGUUUCUGGUGCCGUAGGGAAGCCGUGAAGCGAACCACCUGGGAAGUACGGCCGCAAGGCUGAAACUUAAAGGAAUUGG